Dromaius novaehollandiae (emu) is the source of this 122-nucleotide long non-coding RNA. RefSeq lists it as uncharacterized. The record is from RefSeq and is a predicted model, not a curated record. The transcript has 3 exons. Lineage: Eukaryota; Metazoa; Chordata; Aves; Casuariiformes; Dromaiidae.
CCUUGGAGGGUGCAGAUCCCGUCCCUGCUGCAGUACCUUGAAGGAAAAGAUGAGAGCUCCCUGGACUGUGCAGAAUGGGAGGGCCUCCUGCUGAAGUUCCUGAGAACAUCCCUAGAGACAAU